CAUAAUAUAUAUCCAAAUAUUUACAUAUGUGUAGAUAGUUUUAUCUAUUUAUAUACAACAACCAUAAUCAUUCUCAACGAGUUUUCAUAUUUCAAAAUCGUUCCAUGAUGUUAUCUAUAUUAUUGAAAAAAAUUAUUAAACUCGAGAAAGAAUUACUAAAAAAAUUGCAAGCCCUAAAACUCAAGUAUGAGGUAGGGUAGAGUAGAAACAAAUAAAAGUGUAUAGAGAAUAACCAGGGUUUUACAAACCUUAUUGUUCUUUGUCCAAUAAAUUUGGGA
This 278-nucleotide long non-coding RNA is filed under the name Malus domestica (apple). RNAcentral's name for it is "long non-coding RNA (MDOM_LNC015923)". The record is from RNAcentral. Lineage: Eukaryota; Viridiplantae; Streptophyta; Magnoliopsida; Rosales; Rosaceae.